AGUCGAGAAUAAUUCACAAUGGGGGCAACCCUGAUGGUGCAACGCCGCGUGGAGGAUGAAGGUCCUCGGAUUGUAAACUCCUGUCAUCCGGGAGUAAGACCUGACGGUGAACAGCCGGCAGGGUUGAUAGUACCGGAAGAGGAAGGGACGGCUAACUUCGUGCCAGCAGCCGCGGUAAUACGAAGGUCCCAAGCGUUGUUCGGAAUCACUGGGCGUAAAGGGUGCGUAGGCGGUUAGGUAAGUCAGAUGUGAAAUCCCGGGGCUCAACCCCGGAACUGCAUCCGAUACUGCUUGACUUGAGGACUGGAGAGGUGACUGGAAUUCUCGGUGUAGCAGUGAAAUGCGUGGAGAUCGAGAGGAACACUCGUGGCGUAAGCGAGUCACUGGACAGUAUCUGACGCUGAGGCACGAAGGCCAGGGGAGCGAA
Molecule: ribosomal RNA, 427 nt
Filed under: uncultured Luteolibacter sp.
Lineage: Bacteria; Pseudomonadati; Verrucomicrobiota; Verrucomicrobiia; Verrucomicrobiales; Verrucomicrobiaceae
Description: bacterial SSU rRNA
Rfam family: Bacterial small subunit ribosomal RNA
Source: RNAcentral